This 463-nucleotide ribosomal RNA is filed under the name uncultured bacterium. RNAcentral describes it as "partial 16S ribosomal RNA". It matches the Rfam family "Bacterial small subunit ribosomal RNA", at positions 28 to 507 of the family's 1533-position model. The record is from RNAcentral.
GAUGAACGCUGACAGAAUGCCUAACACAUGCAAGUCGAAGGGGAAGUGGUGCUUGCACCGCGCUAACCUGGGCGGAGGGGUGGGUAACGCGUAAGGAACUUACCUGCGUCACCGGGAUAACAGCUGGAAACUGCUGACAAGACCGGAUAAGGUCUUUAACCUGCAUAGCUUAGCGAUGAAAGGAGACGCCUGCGGAGAGCCUGGCGUCCUAUUAGCUAGUUGGUGGGUUGACGGCCCACCAAGGAGAAGAUAGGUAGCAGGCCUGAGAGGAGGGACGGCCACAAGGCGGAUGAGAUGCGGCGGUUAAGACUACGGGAGGAAGCAGUGGGGAAUAAUGGACAAUGAGGGCCAGAAUGAUGAAGCAAUUCUGUGUGGAGGAAGAUGGUUUUCGGAGUGUAAAGUAGUUUCAGCAGGCAAGAAGGUAGUGACGGUACCUGCAGAAGAAGCGACGGCUAAAUACGUG